RNAcentral lists this microRNA precursor (89 nucleotides) under Olea europaea subsp. europaea. The record is from RNAcentral. Lineage: Eukaryota; Viridiplantae; Streptophyta; Magnoliopsida; Lamiales; Oleaceae.
GUUGGGGGGAAUGAAGCCUGGUCCGAGAUCAUUCGCAGGAUCUCUGAAUAUCAUCGAAUGGUCUCGAACCAGACAACAUUCCCCUCAAC